UACGUAGGGGGCGAGCGUUGUCCGGAUUUAUUGGGCGUAAAGAGCGCGCAGGCGGUCGUUCAAGUCGAGUGUGAAAGCCCCCGGCUCAACUGGGGAGGGUCACUCGAUACUGAUCGACUCGAAGGCAGGAGAGGGUAGUGGAAUUCCCGGUGUAGUGGUGAAAUGCGUAGAUAUCGGGAGGAACACCAGUGGCGAAGGCGACUACCUGGCCUGUUCUUGACGCUGAGGCGCGAAAGCUAGGGGAGCAAACGGG
This 253-nucleotide ribosomal RNA is filed under the name uncultured bacterium. RNAcentral's name for it is "partial 16S ribosomal RNA". It matches the Rfam family "Bacterial small subunit ribosomal RNA", at positions 524 to 776 of the family's 1533-position model. The record is from RNAcentral.